UGUGUGUGUGUGUGUGUGUGUGUGUGUGUGUGUGUAUAUAUAUAUACAUAUACACACACAUACACAUACACACACACACACACA
Non-coding RNA from Pelobates cultripes (western spadefoot toad), 84 nucleotides. The record is from the annotation of a GenBank genome assembly. NCBI's taxonomy places the organism in Eukaryota, Metazoa, Chordata, Amphibia, Anura, Pelobatidae.